GGAGAGGUGGCUGAGUGGUCGAAAGCAACACGGUGCUAACGUGUCAUCCGGGUAAAACUGGAUCGAGGGUUCGAAUCCCUCCCUCUCCG
Non-coding RNA from Candidatus Kaiserbacteria bacterium, 89 nucleotides. The record is from Rfam. NCBI's taxonomy places the organism in Bacteria, Candidatus Kaiseribacteriota.